Molecule: ribosomal RNA, 404 nt
Filed under: uncultured bacterium
Lineage: Bacteria
Description: bacterial SSU rRNA
Rfam family: Bacterial small subunit ribosomal RNA
Source: RNAcentral
UGAGGAAUAUUGGACAAUGGGCGAAAGCCUGAUCCAGCAAUACCGCGUGAGUGAAGAAGGCCUUCGGGUUGUAAAGCUCUUUCAGCAGGGAAAAUAAUGAUGGUACCUGCAAAAGAAGUUCCGGCUAACUCCGUGCCAGCAGCCGCGGUAAUACGGAGGGAACUAGCGUUGUUCGGAUUUACUGGGCGUAAAGGGCGCGUAGGCGGUUUGUUAAGUUAGAAGUGAAAGCCCAGGGCUUAACCCUGGAACUGCUUCUAAAACUGGCAGACUAGAGUGCGGGAGAGGAUAGUGGAAUUCCUAGUGUAGAGGUGAAAUUCUUAGAUAUUAGGAGGAACACCAGUGGCGAAGGCGACUAUCUGGAACGUUACUGACGCUGAGGCGCGAAAGCGUGGGGAGCAAACAGG